RNAcentral lists this ribosomal RNA (768 nucleotides) under uncultured Mycobacterium sp. Its description in RNAcentral is "bacterial SSU rRNA". It matches the Rfam family "Bacterial small subunit ribosomal RNA", at positions 574 to 1340 of the family's 1533-position model. The record is from RNAcentral. Lineage: Bacteria; Bacillati; Actinomycetota; Actinomycetes; Mycobacteriales; Mycobacteriaceae.
GGUGGUUUGUCGCGUUGUUCGUGAAAUCUCACGGCUUAACUGUGAGCGUGCGGGCGAUACGGGCAGACUUGAGUACUGCAGGGGAGACUGGAAUUCCUGGUGUAGCGGUGGAAUGCGCAGAUAUCAGGAGGAACACCGGUGGCGAAGGCGGGUCUCUGGGCAGUAACUGACGCUGAGGAGCGAAAGCGUGGGGAGCGAACAGGAUUAGAUACCCUGGUAGUCCACGCCGUAAACGGUGGGUACUAGGUGUGGGUUUCCUUCCUUGGGAUCCGUGCCGUAGCUAACGCAUUAAGUACCCCGCCUGGGGAGUACGGCCGCAAGGCUAAAACUCAAAGAAAUUGACGGGGGCCCGCACAAGCGGCGGAGCAUGUGGAUUAAUUCGAUGCAACGCGAAGAACUUUACCUGGGUUUGACAUGCACAGGACGCCGGCAGAGAUGUCGGUUCCCUUGUGGCCUGUGUGCAGGUGGUGCAUGGCUGUCGUCAGCUCGUGUCGUGAGAUGUUGGGUUAAGUCCCGCAACGAGCGCAACCCUUGUCUCAUGUUGCCAGCGGGUAAUGCCGGGGACUCGUGAGAGACUGCCGGGGUCAACUCGGAGGAAGGUGGGGAUGACGUCAAGUCAUCAUGCCCCUUAUGUCCAGGGCUUCACACAUGCUACAAUGGCCGGUACAAAGGGCUGCGAUGCCGCGAGGUUAAGCGAAUCCUUUUAAAGCCGGUCUCAGUUCGGAUCGGGGUCUGCAACUCGACCCCGUGAAGUCGGAGUCGCUAGUA